Molecule: unclassified non-coding RNA, 584 nt
Filed under: Rhagoletis pomonella (apple maggot)
Lineage: Eukaryota; Metazoa; Arthropoda; Insecta; Diptera; Tephritidae
Description: external transcribed spacer
Source: RNAcentral
CCACAGUUAGUUUAAAUAGAAAUGAAUUCUGAGUUAAUCAGAUAUUCAUAUUUUCUAUGCUAACAUUUUGGUAUAUUAAAAAUUUUUUCAGCCCUAAUUUAUUAAAAGAAGAAUAGGAGCAAGACAAAAUUAUGCUUCUUUUCAUAAAAUCAUAUAUAUUUUUAUAUACAAAAAAUAUGUGAAAUUAUUAAUUUCAUAUCAUGAAUAAUGUGUACAUCGAUAUUGAUGUAUGCACAAAUGCAUUGAAAUAGAGUAAAAUGUAUUUUAAAAUGAUAAUAUUUGAAAAUAGGCCAAACAAAGAAGAAAUAUCGUUCUUACAUAAAAUAUUAAAAAAAUAUGUAUUAGAGAACGAAGAUUCUUUUUCAUAAUACGUAAGUAACAUGCGCAUGUGCAUUGCAAAUAUAAAUUAUAGUUAUUUUAUUAAUAAUAAUUGAUGAUAAUGCUAAAAAUGAAAACUAAUUUUGCAUAAUGCAGUUAAGUGUGCUGUUUUCGUAUUAUGAUAUUUUCAAAUAUAUAUAGAAAAUAUCAUAUUCUCAUAUAUAUAUAAUAAAUUUUAUUAUAUAUAUGUAAAAAAGAAUUAUAUU